RNAcentral lists this ribosomal RNA (403 nucleotides) under uncultured bacterium. RNAcentral's name for it is "partial 16S ribosomal RNA". It matches the Rfam family "Bacterial small subunit ribosomal RNA", at positions 28 to 526 of the family's 1533-position model. The record is from RNAcentral.
GACGAACGCUGGCGGCGUGCCUAAUACAUGCAAGUCGAACGCAGGGGGGACGGGUGAGUAACACGUGGGUAACCUCCCAUCAGAGGGGAUAACACUUGGAAACAGGUGCUAAACCGAUACUGAUGGAUGAACCCGCGGUGGAUUAGCCAGUUGGUGAGGUAACGGCUAACCAAGGCCACGAUGCAUAGCUGCCCUGAGAGGGGGAUCAGCCACACUGGGACUGAGACACGGCCCAGACUCCUACGGGAGGCAGCAGUAGGGAAUCUUCGGCAAUGGGCGAAAGUCUGACCGAGCAAUGCCGCGUGAGUGAAGAAGGUUUUCGGAUCGUAAAACGCUGUUGUUAGGGAAGCGGUAUCUACCCAGAAAGCAACGGCUAACUACGUGCCAGCAGCCGCGGUAAUUC